Molecule: ribosomal RNA, 451 nt
Filed under: uncultured bacterium
Lineage: Bacteria
Description: partial 16S ribosomal RNA
Rfam family: Bacterial small subunit ribosomal RNA
Source: RNAcentral
GAUGAACGCUGGCGGCGUGCCUAACACAUGCAAGUCGAGCGGCAGCGAGGGGUGCUUGCACCCUGCCGGCGAGCGGCGGACGGCUGAGUAACGCGUGGGAACGUGCCCCAAAGUGAGGAAUAACUGCCCGAAAGGGUAGCUAAUACCGCAUAUUAUCUUCGGAUCAAAGGAUUUAUCCGCUUUGGGAGCGGCUCGCGUCGGAUUAGGUAGUUGGUGGGGUAAUGGCUCACCAAGCCGACGAUCCGUAGCUGGUCUGAGAGGAUGACCAGCCAGACUGGAACUGAGACACGGUCCAGACUCCUACGGGAGGCAGCAGUGAGGAAUCUUCCACAAUGGGCGAAAGCCUGAUGGAGCAACGCCGCGUGCAGGACGAAGGCCUUCGGGUUGUAAACUGCUUUUAUAAGUGAGGAAUAUGACGGUAACUUAUGAAUAAGGAUCGGCUAACUACGUG